CAGCUAAUUGUAUUACCCAUCAGAAAAUAUUAAAUGCUCUAUAUUUUACAACUAUGGGAGCACAGAAACGUAUAACUUGAAAAACUAGAGAAGGCUUUAGAGAGCAUGGGGACAUAGGAGUCGGGAUUUAAAAGAUCAGUAGGAGCUCAUCAGGCAGAGAAAUGGGGAAGAGCAUUUCACACAUGGAACAGUGUGGGGUGUAAAAGUAUGUGGAUGGUAAGGAUGGAGUAGAAGCCUCCUGGGGAGUGGGAAGGGAUGUGGCUGGAAAGGGAGGCUGAGGCCAGAUGGGGAAUGGGGCUUCAAUUCUAGGCCUAAGAGUGUAGAUUUUCUCCUGUAGGUAAUGGGGAGCUAUUGAAUGUUUUUGAGCUGAGGCAUGCCAUGAUUGGGAUCUUUCCACCCUUGUAAGAAGUUUAAAUUCCUACUGAGGGACUAAGAGGAUUCUCCUUUUUCUGCCUGCCUAUCUCCGUGACUGACACCCAGCCAGCCUUUUCCCUCAGCUCCACUUACACGCCUUGCUCCUUUGCCCCAAACCUCCAAUUCUUUGUUCCAAGCAUCCCAAACCUCCAAUUCCUUGUUCCAAGCAGGGUGACAGGGUGGGGGGCUUCACUCUCCCUCAGCCCCCACUCCAACCCUGCAUGUCCCAGACACUCUCUGGGUCCUUCCACCUCCGUCACACAACCAGGGCCAGCCAGGGGGACAGUAGGAAGUUGUGUGUGCUUGCUUCACGGAUCUUUUGGUUUUAAGUCCCCCUGACCCAGGCUUCUCCCUUCACUGAUGCCUUCCCCCAGCUGAGGAGCUUCUGGAAGCUGGGAUUCUGGGGAGCCCUUUCUCUAAUUCACUCAGCUGUGGCUUAUCCACCCCUUUCUCAAAGAAAGGCUCUGGGCUGAGGACCCUGUGGCAUGAAAAGGAUAUAGUUCUUGCCCUCAAGGAUCCAACCAGUAGAGGAGAUAAGAAAACAAGCCCAUGGAAGCAGAGCAUGAGGCAAUAAGUGCUGAGGAAGUUCAGAGAAGCACGCCAGUGAUGUGCUGAUAAGAGAAGCCUUUGCAGAGAAAGCCGCCUAUGUGCCAGCCAGGAGCUUGAAGGAUAAUGUGCUUUCUGGAGGCAAGAAUGGCUGGCAGGGGUGGAAAUGAUUUCAGCAAAGGUAGGAAGGUUGGACACGUUUGGCGAACAUUAAGUCUGUUGGGCUGAGCUGGGCUGUAGGGUUUUUACGAGGACCAGCGGGAGACAAGACUGCAUAGGUGAAGUAGGAGGGUCCUGGAUGGCACAGUUAGCACUGUGGAGUCACUGGACGUGUUGGAGAUGGGAAGUGCCAAGAUGGAGUGGCAUUUUAGGAUGCUUAGACCAGGCAUCAUGUCUCAUGCCUGUAAUCCCAGCACUUUGGGAGGCUGAGGCAGGCGGAUCACUUGAGGCCAGGAGUUCGAGAUGAGCCCGGUCAACAUGGUGAAACUCCGUCUUUACUAAAAAUACAAAAAUUAGCCAGGCAUGGUGGCGGGUGCCUGUAAUCCAGUUACUCAGGAGGUUGAGGCAUGAGAAUCGCUCGAACCUGGGAGGCGGAGAUUGCAGUGAGCCAAGAUGGUGCCACUGCACUCCAG
RNAcentral lists this long non-coding RNA (1592 nucleotides) under Macaca fascicularis (crab-eating macaque). Its description in RNAcentral is "lncRNA (ENSMFAG00000058380.1)". Lineage: Eukaryota; Metazoa; Chordata; Mammalia; Primates; Cercopithecidae. The record is from RNAcentral.